UGAUCAUGGCUCAGAUUGAACGCUGGCGGCAGGCCUAACACAUGCAAGUCGAGCGGUAGCAGUCCUUCGGGAGCUGACGAGCGNCGGACGGGGAGGAAUGCUUGGGAAUCUGCCCGAUAGAGGGGGAUAACUACGGGAAACUGUAGCUAAUACCGCAUGAUCUCUAAGGAGCAAAGCGGGGGACCUUCGGGCCUCGCGCUAUCGGAUGAGCCCAAGUGGGAUUAGCUAGUUGGUAGGGUAAAGGCCUACCAAGGCGACGAUCUCUAACUGGUCUGAGAGGAUGAUCAGUCACACUGGAACUGAGACACGGUCCAGACUCCUACGGGAGGCAGCAGUGGGGAAUAUUGGACAAUGGGGGCAACCCUGAUCCAGCCAUGCCGCGUGGGUGAAGAAGGCCUUCGGGUUGUAAAGCCCUUUUGGCGGGGAGGAAGAGUGUAGGCGAAUAGUCUUGCACUUUGACGUUACCCGCA
RNAcentral lists this ribosomal RNA (470 nucleotides) under bacterium ROME1153sh. Its description in RNAcentral is "bacterial SSU rRNA". It matches the Rfam family "Bacterial small subunit ribosomal RNA", at positions 14 to 483 of the family's 1533-position model. The record is from RNAcentral.